RNAcentral lists this ribosomal RNA (261 nucleotides) under uncultured bacterium. RNAcentral's name for it is "partial 16S ribosomal RNA". It matches the Rfam family "Bacterial small subunit ribosomal RNA", at positions 335 to 593 of the family's 1533-position model. The record is from RNAcentral.
UGUCCUACGGGAGGCAGCAGUGAGGAAUAUUGGUCAAUGGGCGGUAGCCUGAACCAGCCAAGUAGCGUGAAGGAUGAAGGCUCUAUGGAUUGUAAACUUCUUUUAUAAAGGAAUAAAGUGAGGCACGUGUGCCUUUUUGAAUGUACUUUAUGAAUAAGGAUCGGCUAACUCCGUGCCAGCAGCCGCGGUAAUACGGAGGAUGCGAGCGUUAUCCGGAUUUAUUGGGUUUAAAGGGUGCGUAGGCGGGAUUUUAAGUCAGCG